GCAAGUCGAACGAGAACGGGAUAUAGUUUACUAAAACAGUCAACAAAGUGGCGCGCGCGAGUAAAACAUAUAGGUAACGUGCCCUAGAGAAGGGGAUAACAUUUGGAAACGAAUGCUAAUACCCCAUAUGCCUUUAAGUCUUAAGUCUGCAAGGGAAAUAUUUAUAGCUCUAGGAUCGGCCUGUACGGUAUCAGUUUGUUGGUGAGGUAAUGGCUCACCAAGACUAUGACGCCUAACUGGUUUGAGAGGAUGAUC
Molecule: ribosomal RNA, 255 nt
Filed under: uncultured bacterium
Lineage: Bacteria
Description: partial 16S ribosomal RNA
Rfam family: Bacterial small subunit ribosomal RNA
Source: RNAcentral